Molecule: long non-coding RNA, 407 nt
Filed under: Androctonus crassicauda
Lineage: Eukaryota; Metazoa; Arthropoda; Arachnida; Scorpiones; Buthidae
Source: RNAcentral
AUAAUAGGAAUAUAUUAAUUAAGUCUAUUAAAAUAAACCAAAAUAUAUUUUAAUCAUUCAUCUUCUUCAUUUUCAUUGAAGUUUAAGAGAAAAUCGCAAAAAAUAAAACUUAAACACCUUAACACUCAUUUAAAUGGAUGUGGCACUAUUAUUGUUUUACUGCAGCCACUCACUACCCAGGAAAUUACAGCCAAGCCUACUUUACUCUGCAAUAUGUGAUAUUGAGUGGAUUCUUACAGUAAGUUAUCUGGUCCAGUUAGAGGAAUGUAAAGAAUACUAUAGAUAUUUAUGUUUGAGAAGAGAACCUUUUCGUAUUACGUUAGGAUUUUUUUAUAUGAAUUAAAAAGUUCAUAAAAAGUACUCUAAAACUUGUAAAAAUGAAAUAAGAACAAAAUAAUAAAUAUGAC